This 199-nucleotide ribosomal RNA is filed under the name uncultured bacterium. RNAcentral's name for it is "partial 16S ribosomal RNA". It matches the Rfam family "Bacterial small subunit ribosomal RNA", at positions 328 to 540 of the family's 1533-position model. The record is from RNAcentral.
ACGCUCGACACCUACGGGAGGCAGCAGUGGGGAAUAUUGCACAAUGGGGGAAACCCUGAUGCAGCGACGCCGCGUGAAGGAAGAAGUAUCUCGGUAUGUAAACUUCUAUCAGCAGGGAAGAAAGUGACGGUACCUGACUAAGAAGCCCCGGCUAACUACGUGCCACAGCCGCGGUAAUCUGAGGCGGGCUGGCGAAGGC